This 385-nucleotide ribosomal RNA is filed under the name uncultured euryarchaeote. RNAcentral describes it as "bacterial SSU rRNA". It matches the Rfam family "Archaeal small subunit ribosomal RNA", at positions 474 to 859 of the family's 1478-position model. Lineage: Archaea; Methanobacteriati; Methanobacteriota. The record is from RNAcentral.
UCCCAGCAGUCCAAGUSGCAACCACAUUUGUUGGGUCUAAAACAUCCGUAGCUCGCUCUGUAAGUCUCCUGUGAAAUCCCCUCUCUCAAGGAGGGGCGUGCACGAGAUACUGCAGAGCUAGGAACCGGGAGAUGUAACGAGUACAKACAGAGUAGCGGUAAAAUGCGUUGAUCCUGUCUGGACUAACAACCGCGAAGGCRCGUUACAAGCACGGAUUCGACAGUGAGGGAUGAAGGCUAGGGGCGCAAAGUGGAUUAGAUACCCMUGUAGUCCUAGCAGUAAACACUGCACACUGAACAUUGGGGCCUCUUCGAGAGGUCUCAGUGCUGUAGGGAAGCCGGAGAGUGUGCUACCUGGGAAGUAUAGUCKCAAGACCGAAACUUAW